This 466-nucleotide ribosomal RNA is filed under the name uncultured bacterium. RNAcentral describes it as "partial 16S ribosomal RNA". It matches the Rfam family "Bacterial small subunit ribosomal RNA", at positions 28 to 507 of the family's 1533-position model. The record is from RNAcentral.
GACGAACGCUGGCGGCGCGCCUAACACAUGCAAGUCGAACGAGCGAGCGAGAGCUUGCUUUCUUGAGCGAGUGGCGAACGGGUGAGUAACGCGUGAGGAACCUGCCUCAAAGAGGGGGACAACAGUUGGAAACGACUGCUAAUACCGCAUAAGCCCACGUUCCCGCAUGGCACAGAGGGAAAAGGAGCAAUCCGCUUUGAGAUGGCCUCGCGUCCGAUUAGCUAGUUGGUGAGGUAACGGCCCACCAAGGCGACGAGCGGUAGCCGGGCGGAGAGGUUGAACGGCCACAUUGGGACUGAGACACGGCCCAGACUCCUGCGGGAGGCAGCAGUGGGGAAUAUUGCACAAUGGGGGAAACCCUGAUGCAGCGACGCCGCGUGGAGGAAGAAGGUCUUCGGAUUGUAAACUCCUGUUGUUGGGGAAGAUAAUGACGGUACCCAACAAGGAAGUGACGGCUAACUACGUG